Molecule: transfer RNA, 62 nt
Filed under: Ictidomys tridecemlineatus (thirteen-lined ground squirrel)
Lineage: Eukaryota; Metazoa; Chordata; Mammalia; Rodentia; Sciuridae
Description: Spermophilus tridecemlineatus (thirteen-lined ground squirrel) tRNA
Rfam family: tRNA
About the family: Transfer RNA (tRNA) molecules are approximately 80 nucleotides in length. Their secondary structure includes four short double-helical elements and three loops (D, anti-codon, and T loops).
Source: Rfam by way of RNAcentral
UGUGGCUCAGUGGUAAGAGCACUUGCCUAGCAUGCAUGGGGUACUGGGUUCGAUCCUCAGCA